This 443-nucleotide ribosomal RNA is filed under the name uncultured bacterium. Its description in RNAcentral is "bacterial SSU rRNA". It matches the Rfam family "Bacterial small subunit ribosomal RNA", at positions 29 to 455 of the family's 1533-position model. The record is from RNAcentral.
AGCGAACGUUAGCGGCGGGCCUAACACAUGCAAGUCGAACGCGAAAGGUCUUCGGACUGAGUAGAGUGGCGCACGGGUGAGUAACACGUAGGUAAUCUACCCUUUGGCGGGGGAUAACGUUCCGAAAGGAGCGCUAAUACCGCAUAAGACCACGGAGUCUCCGGACGCUGUGGGAAAAGGUGGCCUCUUCUUGAAAGCUACCACCGAAGGAAUGAGCCGUGCGUCCCAUCAGCUAGUUGGUAAGGUAAUGGCUUACCAAGGCGAAGACGGGUAGCUGGUUUGAGAGAAUGAUCAGCCACACUGGCACUGGAACACGGGCCAGACUCCUACGGGAGGCAGCAGUGAGGAAUAUUGGGCAAUGGGCGAAAAGCCUGACCCAGCACGCCGCGUGAGUGAUGAAGGCCCUCGGGUCGUAAAGCUCUGUGGAGAGGGACGAAAACCCU